AACGCUCGCGGCAGGCUUACACAUGCAAGUCGAGCGCCCCGCAGGGGAGCGGCAGACGGGUGAGUAACGCGUGGGAACGUACCUUUUGCUACGGAAUAACUGAGGGAAACUUGUGCUAAUACCGUAUGUGCCCUUCGGGGGAAAGAUUUAUCGGCAAAGGAUCGGCCCGCGUUGGAUUAGCUAGUUGGUGAGGUAAAGGCUCACCAAGGCGACAUCCAUAGCUGGUCUGAGAGGAUGAUCAGCCACACUGGGACUGAGACACGGCCCAACUCCUACGGGAGGCAACACUGGGGAAUAUUGGACAAUGGGCGCAAGCCUGAUCCAGCCAUGCCGCGUGAGUGAUGAAGGCCCUAGGGUUGUAAAGCUCUUUCACCGGUUAAGAUAAUGACGUCACCGGAAAAAGCCCCGGCUAACUUCGUGCCAGCAGCCGCGGUAAUACAAAGGGGGCUAGCGUUGUUCGGAUUUACUGGGCGUAAAGCGCACGUAGGCAGACUUUUAAGUCAGGGGUGAAAUCCCGGGGCUCAACCCCGAACUGCCUUUGAUACUGGAAGUCUUGAGUAUGGUAGAGGUGAGUGGA
Molecule: ribosomal RNA, 577 nt
Filed under: uncultured bacterium
Lineage: Bacteria
Description: bacterial SSU rRNA
Rfam family: Bacterial small subunit ribosomal RNA
Source: RNAcentral